GUGUCAGCCGCCGCGGUAAGACGAACCGAGCGAACGUUGUUCGGAAUCACUGGGCUUAAAGGGCGCGUAGGCGGGCUGUCAAGUCUGGGGUGAAAUCCCGCGGCUCAACCGUGGAACUGCCUCAGAUACUGACGGUCUCGAGGGAGGUAGGGGCGAGCGGAACUGAUGGUGGAGCGGUGAAAUGCGUUGAUAUCAUCAGGAACUCCGGUGGCGAAGGCGGCUCGCUGGAUCUCUUCUGACGCUGAGGCGCGAAAGCCAGGGGAGCAAACGGGAUUAGAUACCCCGGUAGUCCUGGCCCUAAACGUUGAGAACUAGGUAGUGGACCAGACAUGGGUUCACUGCCGAAGCAAAAGUGCUAAGUUCUCCGCCUGGGGAGUAUGGUCGCAAGGCUGAA
This 394-nucleotide ribosomal RNA is filed under the name uncultured bacterium. Its description in RNAcentral is "bacterial SSU rRNA". It matches the Rfam family "Bacterial small subunit ribosomal RNA", at positions 505 to 898 of the family's 1533-position model. The record is from RNAcentral.